This 406-nucleotide ribosomal RNA is filed under the name uncultured bacterium. Its description in RNAcentral is "partial 16S ribosomal RNA". It matches the Rfam family "Bacterial small subunit ribosomal RNA", at positions 30 to 526 of the family's 1533-position model. The record is from RNAcentral.
AUUGAACGCUGGCGGAAGGCCUAACACAUGCAAGUCGAACGAGUGGCGGACGGGUGAGUAAUGUCUGGGAAACUGCCCGAUGGAGGGGGAUAACUAGGGGAAAAGGGAGCGAAUACUGAAGACCAGGGGAUGUGGCCAGAUGGGAUUAGCCAGUAUGUUGGGUAACGGCUCACCUAGGCGACGAUCCCUAGCUGGUCAGAGAGGAUGACCAGCCACACUGGAACUGAGACACGGUCCAGACUCCUACGGGAGGCAGCAGUGGGGAAUAUUGCACAAUGGGCGCAAGCCUGAUGCAGCCAUGCCGCGUGUAUGAAGAAGGCCUUCGGGUUGUAAAGUACUUUCAGCGAGGAGGCUUUACUCUCAGAAGAAGCACCUGCUAACUCCGUGCCAGCAGCCGCGGUAAUAC